Molecule: long non-coding RNA, 3136 nt
Organism: Oncorhynchus tshawytscha (Chinook salmon)
Lineage: Eukaryota; Metazoa; Chordata; Actinopteri; Salmoniformes; Salmonidae
Source: Ensembl
CUAGGCUGAUAGAGCACCUUCAACAUGGCUAGGCUGAUAGAGCACCUUCAACAUGGCUAGGCUGAUAGAGCACCUUCAACAUGGCUAGGCUGAUAGAGCACCUUCAAACAUGGCUAGGCUGAUAUAACAUAAUUAGAUUACCAAAGUUAAUGAUGCCUUCUUGAACUAUGUGUUUAAACUAUAGCAAUACAGUAGGAUGUUCUUACUAGUAGAAGUCUUGAAUGAAUGAACAAUCCAUGAGUAAUCCACGUGGAGAUUGAAGCUGUGUUUUAUAGUUGUAAGUGGAAAUGUUGAUAUUUGGUUAUGAACUCAGACAGCCACGUAGGUUGCUCCAGAGGGUAGUGGAUAUGACAGACAGCCAAGUAGGUUGCUCAGAAGGUAGUGGAUAUGACAGACAGCCACGUAGGUUGCUCAGAGGGUAGUGGAUAUGACAGACAGCCACGUAGGUUGCUCAGGGUAGUCCAGAUUUAUGUUUGUUAUGUGACGGCCUUACAUGAGAAUGACUGACCAGGGCUGCAAAAUUCAGCCAACUUUCUCGAAUUUCCCACAUAUUCCAUAAAUCAGUGUUGGAAGAUUCACGGAAUCAAGCGGGAAUAAGCAAGAAAUCCAACAUUCCAACCAGGAAUUCUGGAAAUCCAAUUAUUAAAAAAACAUUUUUAAGUUACCAGAGUUUUUCAAACCUGUGAAUGUGGUUUAGAAUCUCAGGGUUUUUAACCCCUACAAGAUGAGUGUUUAACAUAUUGUAUAUGAUGGUACAAGUGUAACAGAGGUUAUUUGGCUCGGAUAAACCAGUGGUUCACCACCAAGUAAUGUACUCCAUGCUCUGCCCUCUACCUCCUCAUGAGUCUUUGACCAGUAAGCCUGUGGUCUCAUGAGUCUCCUCAAGUAGCCCCUGUGGAUUGGCCAAUUACCCCAAAGGGUUCUAGUACCACUGGUUGUGAACCACUGGGGUUACUAUGCUUGAAUGGUGAAUAACUUUGCCUGAGAUCUGAAGACUCGCGUUAGCACCCUAGGGUAAUGCCUUGGCUUUAACUCAGCGGGCUAACACAGUCUAUGAAGGCGCUCAAUGGCCUGGGUAUGUGGGUUUGAAUACCUGGUUGAUCAUUCUCACCCCUAUGUUUUGGGUAUUGGUUGGUUCGUUCUGUGAUGACAGGCUUGGGGCUUAAAUAUCAACACAUUCCCUAUAUAGGGCCAUACUUUUCCCCCCCAGUUAAAAGUAAGGGCUUACUACUUAGUCAUAGGACCCAGUCAAAAGUAGGAUACUAUAUAGGGAAUAGGGUGCCAUUUAUGGACGCACUCAAAUACUGUCUCACACAUAUUGAUGAUAUUGUCGCUUAUAUCCUGUUGGGUGAAGCUUUGUGCCUUACUCUGAGACCACAGUGUGGUCUGACCUUAUUAAAGAUGUCUCUGUGUAGCUGGGACCUCAGUGUGGUCUGACCUUAUUAAAGAUGUCUCUGUGUAGCUGGGACCUCAGUGUGGUCUGACCUUAUUAAAGAUGUCUCUGUGUAGCUGGGACCUCAGUGUGGUCUGACCUUAUUAAAGAUGUCUCUGUGUAGCUGGGACCUCAGUGUGGUCUGACCUUAUUAAAGAUGUCUCUUUCUACUGCUCAGGUACCGGUAAUAGACCUCAGCCCAUUCAGUUCUAGCCAAUGAUAUAGCGUCAACGCCAAACAAACUAAUAUUUAGCCCCAACUACCCUCCCCCCUAGGUCCUAGGCAAAUGUAGUAGAUCUGAAAGUGUUGGAUAGACGCGAGUAGCAACGCAACAUGGUAAAUAACACCUCCACCUUGUCCUCUGAUGAGGCUAGGUGUCACCAUGUUUAUACCUAUCCAAUCCUUACAGAUUUACCAAGUGCCCAGAGCUAGGUGCUAAGUGGAAGAGAUGAAUAAUAUCAGUUGGCUGCUCAGUUCAACUCAGUACUUUUGCCAUCCAGGAGUAUAAAAAGUUACCAAUUCUGUUUCAAGAGACAAUUGGAACGUCCAUUUAUUUCCAGGAUUGACUGAAUUGAAAUGGAACCGAGCCCAACCAUGAAAGAUUGACUGAAUUGAAAUGGAACCGAGCCCAACCAUGAAAGAUUGACUGAAUUGAAAUGGAACCGAGCCCAACCAUGAAAGAUUGACUGAAUUGAAAUGGAACUGAGCCCAACCAUGAAAGAUUGACUGAAUUGAAAUGGAAUUGAGCCCAACCAUGAAAGAUUGACUGAAUUGAAAUGGAACUGAGCCCAACCAUGAAAGAUUGACUGAAUUGAAAUGGAACUGAGCCCAACCAUGAAAGAUUAACUGAAUUGAAAUGGAACCGAGCCCAACCAUGAAAGAAUGACUGAAUUGAAAUGGAACCGAGCCCAACCAUGAAAGAAUGACUGAAUUGAAAUGGGACCGAGCCCAACCAUGAAAGAAUGACUGAAUUGAAAUGGAACUGAGCCCAACCAUGAAAGUAACCUUGCUCUGUGAUGAGGGAUGACAUAUGAUUACUUCAAGGAAACGUGUUUUAUAUUACAAAAUACAUGUGAGGGUUGAUUCACUUGCUUUGGGUUCUUACUUUUUCCCUAUAUGGUACUAGUAAUAAUAUAGGAUGUUGAGUGUGUUUAUAAUGGGAGUGGAUACCUAUGUGUGACUGUUACUGCUUGUUGCUCAGGGGGUAGAAUGUAUGAAGCAAUAUCAUUCGAAACAUUUCUAGCUUUAAAACAAAACAAAAAAAACUCAGUGUGCAUGGGGGUGUGUCUUGGUUCUGUGAAUCAGGAAGUCACAGAGAUGGACACCCAAUGAGAUGUCAUGUUGCUUUUGUGUAGCCACUCGCAAGCUUCUGUACCAAAAUUGACACAUUUGAGUUUUUCCCAUGAAAUAUGUGUUUCAUCCUGGGAUGCCUCUUCCUGUAUCUAAUACGUCAUGUUGGGUUAAAUGUGUCUGACCCAACUGUCCUCAAUAAAACUGACUUGGUGAAAGAUGUAUUUUUAUUUUUUAUUUUUUGCUGUUGUGAACAAAAUCCACAGACAAGAACACACGAUUGGUGAUUUGAAAAUAGUUUAUAGCAUUUAAAAUAUAUAUUUAGGUGUUUUCACAAACAAUUCAGCCUAAUAACCCUUGACACUGAAUGGUACUGAAAGCCAUGUAGACUAUUGUAGCCUGGGUACCAGUCUG